RNAcentral lists this long non-coding RNA (376 nucleotides) under Homo sapiens (human). RNAcentral describes it as "HSALNT0308724". Lineage: Eukaryota; Metazoa; Chordata; Mammalia; Primates; Hominidae. The record is from RNAcentral.
UUUAAGGGUUCUGCAAGCAGAUAAUCCUGAAGGUUGCAUAAGUUUAGCAGCUGAGGAGCUGUCAGCUUAGAACAAUAAUGCAUCAAAGAGAUCCACCAAAUCAGCAGUCCAGCCCACAUAGACCAAUGUACCUGUGAGACACAGAAUAAUCAGAACCCAGAGAUGACAACCAAAGAAGAAAAUGGAGAAGAGACUAUAUCUAGGAUUGAUUAAAGUCAGGGAGCAAAUAUCAGAGGCUGGUACAAGGGCUCUAUGGUAUCAUCAACGUUCUGGCAUCCUACUUUCUUGCAUUGCCAUUCUUUGUGCAUGGAUUCCAUCUUCAAGUUUACCUCACAGUCACUAUAUGGCUACUGCAACUCUAACCAUUUCAUCUGUA